RNAcentral lists this non-coding RNA (25 nucleotides) under Mus musculus (house mouse). RNAcentral also lists the same sequence under 19 other names. Lineage: Eukaryota; Metazoa; Chordata; Mammalia; Rodentia; Muridae. The record is from RNAcentral.
GUCGGGAUAGCUCAGUUGGUAGAGC